GCCUUUAUCGUAUAAUGGUUAGUACAGUAGUCUCAUAAUCUACAAGCGCGAGUUCAAUUCUCGCUAAAGGCA
Molecule: transfer RNA, 72 nt
Organism: Enterospora canceri
Lineage: Eukaryota; Fungi; Microsporidia; Enterocytozoonidae
Rfam family: tRNA
About the family: Transfer RNA (tRNA) molecules are approximately 80 nucleotides in length. Their secondary structure includes four short double-helical elements and three loops (D, anti-codon, and T loops). Further hydrogen bonds mediate the characteristic L-shaped molecular structure. tRNAs have two regions of fundamental functional importance: the anti-codon, which is responsible for specific mRNA codon recognition, and the 3' end, to which the tRNAs corresponding amino acid is attached (by aminoacyl-tRNA synthetases). tRNAs cope with the degeneracy of the genetic code in two manners: having more than one tRNA (with a specific anti-codon) for a particular amino acid; and 'wobble' base-pairing, i.e. permitting non-standard base-pairing at the 3rd anti-codon position.
Source: Rfam